This 505-nucleotide ribosomal RNA is filed under the name uncultured bacterium. RNAcentral describes it as "partial 16S ribosomal RNA". It matches the Rfam family "Bacterial small subunit ribosomal RNA", at positions 28 to 507 of the family's 1533-position model. The record is from RNAcentral.
GACGAACGCUGACGGCGUGCCUAAUACAUGCAAGUAGAACGCACAGUUUAUACCGUAGCUUGCUACACCAUAGACUGUGAGUUGCGAACGGGUGAGUAACGCGUAGGUAACCUGCCUGGUAGCGGGGGAUAACUAUUGGAAACGAUAGCUAAUACCGCAUAAUAUUAAUUAUUGCAUGAUAAUUAAUUGAAAGGUGCAAUUGCACCACUACCAGAUGGACCUGCGUUGUAUUAGCUAGUAGGUGAGGUAACGGCUCACCUAGGCGACGAUACAUAGCCGACCUGAGAGGGUGAUCGGCCACACUGGGACUGAGACACGGCCCAGACUCCUACGGGAGGCAGCAGUAGGGAAUCUUCGGCAAUGGACGAAAGUCUGACCGAGCAACGCCGCGUGAGUGAAGAAGGUUUUCGGAUCGUAAAGCUCUGUUGUAAGAGAAGAACGGGUGUGAGAGUGGAAAGUUCACACUGUGACGGUAUCUUACCAGAAAGGGACGGCUAACUACGUG